CCAUAUCACAUUGGAACACCGAAGUUAAGCAAUGGCAACCUGGUCAGUACCUAGAUGGGUGACUGCUUGGGAAUACCAGGUGCUGUAAG
Acanthosepion pharaonis is the source of this 89-nucleotide non-coding RNA. Lineage: Eukaryota; Metazoa; Mollusca; Cephalopoda; Sepiida; Sepiidae. The record is from the annotation of a GenBank genome assembly.